Molecule: long non-coding RNA, 515 nt
Filed under: Mytilus galloprovincialis (Mediterranean mussel)
Lineage: Eukaryota; Metazoa; Mollusca; Bivalvia; Mytilida; Mytilidae
Source: RNAcentral
AUUGCAAAUGAUAAAUAAAGCCAACAGUAGUAUACCGCUGUUAAAUAGUCAUAAAUCGAUUGAGAGAAAACAAAUCCGGGUUACAAACUAAAACAGAGGGAAACACAUCAACUAUAAGAGGAAACAACGAAACAACAGAAACAUUGAAAUGCAACAACAAACAAACGACAAUGCAAAACACACAGAAACGAACUAUAAGAUAACAAAUGUCAUUUUCCUGACUUGGUACAGGACAUUUUUAUAACAAAAUGGUGGGUUUAAACCUCGUUUUGUUGCUAGCCCAACCUGGCGCUUUUAUGGCAAUGUUAAAUAUACCACUAAAAUGACAGCAUUACAUGACAGGAUUACAGUACAAAUAAAUGCAAAAACAAUCAGGACAGAAUAAUACACAAAUAAACAAUAUAAUAGAACAUUUCGACAUGGUCCACAGAAUAAUAACGAAUACGCAAAACAACCUAGGACAGCACACAAAAAACUGAACCACGAACUGUCCGUCACACAUCUGUAUCAACACC